GAUGAACGCUGGCGGUCUGCUUAACACAUGCAAGUCGAACGGAAUCCUUCGGGAUUUAGUGGCGGACGGGUGAGUAACGCGUGAGAAUCUGCCUUCAGGUUCGGGACAACAGCUGGAAACGGCUGCUAAUACCGGAUGUGCCGAGAGGUGAAAGCUUUAGUGCCUGAAGAUGAGCUCGCGUCUGAUUAGCUAGUAGGAGUGGUAAUGGCACCCCUAGGCGACGAUCAGUAGCUGGUCUGAGAGGAUGAUCAGCCACACUGGGACUGAGACACGGGCCAGAAUCCCAAGGGAGGCAGGAGUGGGGAAAUUUCCCCAAAGGGCGGAAGGCUGACGGAGGAAGACCGCGUGAGGGAAGGAGGUCUGUGGAUUGGAAACCUCUUUUGAUGGGGAAGAAGACAGUGACGGUACCCAUCGAAUCAGCCUCGGCUAGCUCCGUGCCAGCCGCCGCCGUAA
RNAcentral lists this ribosomal RNA (453 nucleotides) under uncultured bacterium. RNAcentral describes it as "partial 16S ribosomal RNA". It matches the Rfam family "Bacterial small subunit ribosomal RNA", at positions 28 to 523 of the family's 1533-position model. The record is from RNAcentral.